This is a non-coding RNA of Podarcis lilfordi (Lilford's wall lizard), 79 nucleotides long. NCBI's taxonomy places the organism in Eukaryota, Metazoa, Chordata, Lepidosauria, Squamata, Lacertidae. The record is from the annotation of a GenBank genome assembly.
GUCCCCACUUCUUUUAACUCAGUGGCAGGACAUCUGCUUUGCAUGCAGAAGGUCCCAGGUUCAAUCCCCGGCAUCUCCA